AUCGCUUCUUGGCCUUUUGGCUAAGAUCAAGUGUAGUAAAAUGUACAUGGGAAAUUCAAAAUAACAAAAAUAAAAUGUUUAUGGAAAAAUUGAAUAAAAGAUAAGGCUUUAAUUGCAAGCAAUAGCAAAAUUUAAUGUUUUUUUUUCCAUAACACAAAUUUUCCAAGAACUUGAAGACCACGCAUA
Molecule: small nuclear RNA, 186 nt
Organism: Ochotona princeps (American pika)
Lineage: Eukaryota; Metazoa; Chordata; Mammalia; Lagomorpha; Ochotonidae
Product: U2 spliceosomal RNA
Exons: 1
Source: RefSeq, a predicted model, not a curated record